This is a long non-coding RNA of Thunnus maccoyii (southern bluefin tuna), 759 nucleotides long. RefSeq lists it as uncharacterized. The transcript is spliced from 3 exons. NCBI's taxonomy places the organism in Eukaryota, Metazoa, Chordata, Actinopteri, Scombriformes, Scombridae. The record is from RefSeq and is a predicted model, not a curated record.
GGCCACACACACACACACACACACUCUAAACCAACACGUUUUUGACCUGACGGUGACAUCCAUUAAAGGAACUCUCAGAGUUAAAGCCUCCCUGGUUGAUCUUGACAUCCAUUUUACUUUUAGCUCAGAUGGCAGCCGAGUGAACAGAAUUCAACAACCUACUGUCAGAGAUCAUAAAAGCAAGCAAGUCUGGAGAUGAUUUAUGCCUGCAGUGAUAGCUGAAGCUUCUAUCUGCUUCGCUGUGCCCAUGUGGAGCUCUGUGUGCAUGCUCUCGGCUCUGCUUGCGUCCUGUUUAUCUUCCAGCAGAACCUGUUGCGAGCAGCUCACUAAUUGCCAUGGGACAGUGCCAAGCACUCCAGUGACAGAUGUUUCAGCUGGAUGGCAGCUAAUGAAGAUCGGCUGGAAAACAUCCAUUGGACUAUCCUCUGGAGGGCUCCCAUGAUUCAUUAUGCCUGCAUUUAUGCCAGAGGCCACUGGAUUCACAUUAUCAGCCAGCACAGAUCCCAGUAAAUUUGAAGGCUUUACCAUGCAAUGAGCUGAAGGCUCCUUAUUUAGAUGAUUAGUGUGUUAUUGACACAUUUUGUAUUCAGUGGAAGCCAUAUUGUCGUUUAAUUAGCCAGUCAUUGUUGUUAUUGGUUUUUCAGUUAAUACCCUUUGGCAGUUUAGCAUUUAAUGACAUUUAUCCAUGGCUGGAGGAAAUACAAAUGGUUUAAUUUCCAAACUGUUGUAGAAAACAAUGGCUAACUGGAAAUCUUUACU